Long non-coding RNA from Perca fluviatilis (European perch), 974 nucleotides. RefSeq lists it as uncharacterized. NCBI's taxonomy places the organism in Eukaryota, Metazoa, Chordata, Actinopteri, Perciformes, Percidae. The transcript is spliced from 5 exons. The record is from RefSeq and is a predicted model, not a curated record.
CAACCUGUCCAACUUUCUCUGCUCUAGUUAGUCAGCUCCUAGCGCUGUGUAGGAAGGUUUGGCAAUGCGAAACUAGUCAGCUCGAAAAGUGGCAAGUAGACAAAGUUUAACCAUCAGAAGUUAUGUUAGUUAAGCUGUUUUGCUGCGGUGAAAUAACUGAAGUAAAAAACGUCACGACUUCCUAUAACGUUGGGAUGGAAGGACAGCAUCGUCUGUCCAGAGACAAAAACUAUGUAUACGUUAGCCUAUGUGAUUAAAGAUGGAUAGCUGAGAAAGGUAUAGCUAGCAGUUAUAGAGAAAAUGUUUCACUGUUCCCGAAAGUGGAAAAGUUCAGUAUCUGUUUAAAUGGCGGCGACUUAAAACACAAUGAAGAACUACAAAUCGCUCUCGGAGAACAUACGUUACCUGGACAAGAAACACAAAGGGGCCGGAUAUGGCUGGAUGCUAAUACCAACACCGGGUUAUAUCAUGGAUGCUAGCACGUAGCAGGAACACAGUUAGAUGAUUAUACAAAGGUAUGAAUCACGUGUAAGGAUUAAUGCUCUCCUUUGAGGACCCUUCUUUUUGGCCAGCUCAAAGGACUUAAGGCCGCCUGGCAGAAAUGGCAGUCCAAGCACCGAUGUAUUUGUCACAAGUAAUUAAUUUUUCUCCCAUAAAAACGCCCACUGGGAUGAUGGAAAAGAUGGCUGUUUUGCUCAGGGAAUAAAGAGGAUCUGCUUGGUGACUCAGUCCAGAAUUUUGAACACUCUCUACUUCUUCCCUUGCACAAGACACAUCAGAAGACAUCUUGGAACCCCCUUCCCAACACCUGUCCACCGCUCUGCCUUCCCUCCCUAGUGCUUGGGUUGGAUUUUGAAUCGCUUUUUUCACAGUUUAUUUCAAAUUGUCAUUUCAUGGAGUUAAAUCUCCAGGGGGGGGGGGGCAAUGGGUAAAUUCCAUCACACAGAGUGAUAUGAAAAGCCACAGACCUUGUG